Molecule: ribosomal RNA, 492 nt
Filed under: uncultured bacterium
Lineage: Bacteria
Description: partial 16S ribosomal RNA
Rfam family: Bacterial small subunit ribosomal RNA
Source: RNAcentral
AGUGAACGCUGGCGGUAGGCCUAACACAUGCAAGUCGAACGGCAGCACAGUAAGAGCUUGCUCUUACGGGUGGCGAGUGGCGGACGGGUGAGGAAUACAUCGGAAUCUACUUUUUCGUGGGGGAUAACGUAGGGAAACUUACGCUAAUACCGCAUACGACCUACGGGUGAAAGCGGGGGAUCUUCGGACCUUGCGCGAUUGAAUGAGCCGAUGUCGGAUUAGCUAGUUGGCGGGGUAAAGGCCCACCAAGGCGACGAUCCGUAGCUGGUCUGAGAGGAUGAUCAGCCACACUGGAACUGAGACACGGUCCAGACUCCUACGGGAGGCAGCAGUGGGGAAUAUUGGACAAUGGGCGCAAGCCUGAUCCAGCCAUACCGCGUGGGUGAAGAAGGCCUUCGGGUUGUAAAGCCCUUUUGUUGGGAAAGAAAAGCAGCAGGUGAAUACCCCGCUGUUCUGACGGUACCCAAAGAAUAAGCACCGGCUAACUUCGUG